ACGAGUUAGGGUCUUUCCAGGCCCGACCUCCCAACCCUUUGUUUACCACACCAUUUGUUGCUUCGGCGAGCCCGUCUUCACGGACCGCCGGGGGACCGUCACACGUCUCCUGGCCCGCCGCUCGCCGGUAGCCCAACCUUUAAAUUAUUAACCAAACGUGUCUUGACUAAGUACCAAUUUUUUAAUUAAAUUA
RNAcentral lists this unclassified non-coding RNA (193 nucleotides) under uncultured Chaetothyriales. RNAcentral describes it as "sequence contains ITS1". The record is from RNAcentral. Lineage: Eukaryota; Fungi; Ascomycota; Eurotiomycetes; Chaetothyriales.